Molecule: ribosomal RNA, 298 nt
Filed under: uncultured eukaryote
Lineage: Eukaryota
Description: partial 18S ribosomal RNA
Rfam family: Eukaryotic small subunit ribosomal RNA
Source: RNAcentral
CCCUUAGACACUCUAGGCGGCACGCGCGCUACAAUGGGUGGAAGAACGUGUUACUGCCUCCGAAAGGAGGGGUGAAUCACGAAUUCUUUCCCGUGAAUGGGAUAGUUUGUUGCAAUUUUCGGACUUGAACUAGGAAUCCCUUGUAAACAUGCUCAAGAAUAGCGUGUUGAAUACGUCCCUGCCGUUUGUACACACCGCCCGUCGUUUCUUCCGACUGAUACUCAUUGUGAGUUGCAAGGACCCUUUAUUGGGAAAUUGCUGCAAAUGCUUUGUAUUGGAGGAAGAAAAAGUCGUAACA